Molecule: ribosomal RNA, 376 nt
Filed under: uncultured bacterium
Lineage: Bacteria
Description: bacterial SSU rRNA
Rfam family: Bacterial small subunit ribosomal RNA
Source: RNAcentral
UACGUAGGGGGCGAGCGUUGUCCGGAAUGACUGGGCGUAAAGGGCGUGUAGGCGACCGAUUAAGUAUGGAGUGAAAGUCCUGCUUUCAAGGUGGGAAUUGCUUUGUAGACUGGUUGGCUUGAGUGCGGAAGAGGUAAGUGGAAUUCCCAGUGUAGCGGUGAAAUGCGUAGAGAUUGGGAGGAACACCAGUGGCGAAGGCGACUUACUGGGCCGUAACUGACGCUGAGGCGCGAAAGCGUGGGGAGCGAACAGGAUUAGAUACCCUGGUAGUCCACGCUGUAAACGAUGAAUGCUAGGUGUUGCGGGUAUCGACCCCUGCAGUGCCGGAGUAAACGCAAUAAGCAUUCCGCCUGGGGAGUACGGCCGCAAGGUUGAA